UACGGGGGGGGCAAGCGUUGUUCGGAAUUACUGGGCGUAAAGGGUUUGUAGGUGGCCCGCUAAGUCACACGUGAAAUCCCUCAGCUUAACUGGGGAACUGCGUGUGAGACUGGCAGGCUCGAGGGCAGGAGAGGAACGCGGAAUUCCAGGUGUAGCGGUGAAAUGCGUAGAUAUCUGGAGGAACACCGGUGGCGAAGGCGGCGUUCUGGACUGUCUCUGACACUGAAGAACGAAAGCCAGGGGAGCAAACGGGAUUAGAUACCCCGGUAGUCCUGGCCCUAAACGAUGAAUGCUUGGUGUGACGGGUAUCGAUCCCUGUCGUGCCGCAGUUAACGCGUUAAGCAUUCCGCCUGGGGAGUACGGUCGCAAGGCUGAA
Molecule: ribosomal RNA, 376 nt
Filed under: uncultured bacterium
Lineage: Bacteria
Description: bacterial SSU rRNA
Rfam family: Bacterial small subunit ribosomal RNA
Source: RNAcentral